GACGAACGCUGGCGGCGUGCCUAAUACAUGCAAGUCGAGCGAAGUUUUUCUGGUGCUUGCACUAGAAAAACUUAGCGGCGAACGGGUGAGUAACGCGUAAAGAACCUGCCUCAUAGACUGGGACAACUAUUGGAAACGAUAGCUAAUACCGGAUAACAGCAUUAACUGCAUGGUUGAUGUUUAAAAGUUGGUUUUGCUAACACUAUGAGAUGGCUUUGCGGUGCAUUAGCUAGUUGGUGGGGUAAAGGCCUACCAAGGCGACGAUGCAUAGCCGACCUGAGAGGGUGAUCGGCCACACUGGGACUGAGACACGGCCCAGACUCCUACGGGAGGCAGCAGUAGGGAAUCUUCCGCAAUGGGCGAAAGCCUGACGGAGCAACGCCGCGUGAGUGAAGAAGGAUUUCGGUUCGUAAAGCUCUGUUGUUAGGGAAGAAUGAUUGUGUAGUAACUAUACACAGUAGAGACGGUACCUAACCAGAAAGCCACGGCUAACUACGUG
This 499-nucleotide ribosomal RNA is filed under the name uncultured bacterium. Its description in RNAcentral is "partial 16S ribosomal RNA". It matches the Rfam family "Bacterial small subunit ribosomal RNA", at positions 28 to 507 of the family's 1533-position model. The record is from RNAcentral.